GGCACCUUAGCCAAGAGGUAAGGCAGAGGUCUGCAAAAUCUCCAUCUCCGGUUCGAAUCCGGAAGGUGCCUCCA
RNAcentral lists this transfer RNA (74 nucleotides) under bacterium. RNAcentral's name for it is "tRNA-Cys". It matches the Rfam family "tRNA". From Rfam's summary of the family: Transfer RNA (tRNA) molecules are approximately 80 nucleotides in length. Their secondary structure includes four short double-helical elements and three loops (D, anti-codon, and T loops). RNAcentral also lists the same sequence under 1 other name. The record is from RNAcentral.